UUAGGGGACUUUUGUAAGUGGUGAAAGCAGUGGGUGUAGAAGGCGGCAAAAAGUAUUAUGCCUAGGCCUAAAUAGCGGAAGAAUGAGUGGGCCACUAGCUACGUUUAGCCUGGUAAGUGUAGCCUAAAUAGGUCAAUCCUUAUGGCCAGGCCUAAGGAGACCUAGACUAGUCCUAAACUUAGAUGGCCAACUACGGAAGAGGUUAAAGCUUAGCCUAGCUAGGCCCGGCCGGGCUCAAAUCAUUUCGGCCGCCGCUCGUUUCGGCCGCCAGAUUUUGAACAAUAGGAAGUAUGGCGCGCCAACACAGUUCCGUUGGUAGUGUGGUUGUUGCAGGAUGCGGAAGCUUAAUAAGCGUAGGCAAAUAAUAAUCUCUCCGUUUUUUAUUUAACUUUCUGUCUGUAAGUAUAGGCCUACAUAUUUGUACGUAAUGCAUGCUUAGGCCUAGGACCUAGGUCUACUACGCAUUUUUCAUUAGGUGUAUUUAUUUAUUUUUGUGGUUAAUGAAAUAUAAUAAUGCCUAAUGAUAACCUAAAUAUUGUGCUUAGGCCUAAAUUGAUUGUUAUACUUGUAGUAUUUUUCAGUAGCACGAAUGUCUAGUUGUAGUUGAUUACCUAUAUAGUAAUAACUGAUGAUAGUCGUAAUGAGUUGUAUGUCACUAUACUUAAUGUAAUUUUGUACUUUUUUGGAAUGUUAUAAACAUAUGUUGGCUAAUAUAAUAAAUAAAAUAUGUUGGCUAAUUUUAUAAACAUAUGUUCGUUGUUAUAAAUUAUUGUAACAAUUAUAUGAGUGCAGAAACUGAUUUAUCAUGAUAAUAAUUUUAAUUUGUUCUUAAGACGAUGAGGAAAAUAAAUUCUGUCUGAAACUAGUUUAAUUAAUGGUUAAUAUAUAUGUUUGUUGUUAUAAUUUAUAUAAUUAUAUACGUUUUUGUAAAUAUUAAACACUACAAGUCUCGCAAAAAAUACUAUAAAGCAAAAUUUAAACUGGUAUAGUUUUCAUUUAUUGAAACUUAUAUAAUAAAGCAUAUAUACAAAAAUAAGCAAAUUUGUAAAUAUUUCAUUUAACACAUGAUAAUGUUUAGUUAAUUAUGUAGAUACAUUAAGUGUAUGAGUAUACAAGUUAUAUAUACAUUAUGUACAUAGACCUAAGUCAAGUAAACAUAUUCCAGUAUUUAUUAAUGUUUAUUAUACAUUUUUAUUAUAUUCAUUACAUUCAUUAUUCAUGUUAAUAAUAGUUCCACGUAAUCAAUUAUUACUGCUUAAUCGCGGGUUUGCGGCGAGAUAAUUUUGCUGCCAACAUUCAGGAGUGAUUGGGCACUUCGCUGGCCGCCACGUAACUCUCGCCACAUCCUCAACAACCUCUCUGUACUCCUCUUCGAGCCAUUGGUCUGUGAUUUGGUUACAUCCUCGCGGUGUACCAACUCUGCUGUUAUGGACACUGUCACUGCCUCUUCGUACAUUAACAUACACAUGACAUAGAAUUGGAGGUUGGCUGAAAGAGAUAAGGAAUUGUAAUUCUGCUUUCCAUAUUACAAUAAAUAGUGACACACAGAGUGAAGAGUUUGGAAAAAUUGAUCAUGGUCUUUAAAAUCAGAAAAACAGUGUGUCAGGUUUAAUUGUACGGAGGUCUUUCAGAAAGUUUCAAACAGUAAGUCAAGCUGGAUUCACAGUAGCCUGCUUCUUUGAUGUGAUGGAGCAAAACCAAAGCCACGCAGAUGUGCGAUGUUGGUGAAUGAGAAUUUAUACAGAGUUUAACUACCUCAACAGUUUCUACUGAUUUUAGAUUUAGCUUGUAUAUGAACUUCAAUGGAAAACGGAGAAAACAAGUUUUAGUUGUUGACGAACAUAUGCUGCAGUAACAACACGCACUUCAAUGAAUUUUUACAUAAAUCUUCGGUACAUAUAUUUGGAAGUUGUAAUUUUGACAAGAUGACAAAAAUAUACAUCUGCAGGACAACAUAAUUUAAAACUGCAAAUUGACAAUUAAAAACUCGUACUUUUUGCAAAAUAAAAUGAUUGAUUAUAAAUAAGAAAUAUUUCAAAAUAAGUUUUGCUAAAUAUACAUGUUUUGAAGACCGAAAUACUUUGAUACACUAAGCUUCUUCUAUGAUGAAUACCGUCUUGGCUGAAGUCAACUGACAACUUGAAAUUAUGAAAGCAAGAAAUUUUUCUUACUGGUUGGCAGUUAUUAUUUUCAAGACCUUUUUUGAUGAGAAUGAUGGUGUUUGGAUUCUUUGUUGCUGUUAUCUAUUUAUAUUGAAAGACAUUGCAAUAUUACCACAGCUGUAGUCAAAUGGCAUGGAAAAACUGACUGAUAACAAUUGCAAGGAAAAGAGAUCUCAAUUGAAUCGAUAAAGACAUUGCAGCAUUUUUUAUAACACUGUCUCAUGGAGAUCAAUAUGCGUUUAAAUAUUUCUUGCCUUCAAAUGUUUUACUUUUAAAUGUAUGUGCCAUGACAUAUGAUAAGUAAUCAUCACUGCCGUUAGAAGUGGUUUGCGGAACAAUGUUAGUGAACUAAGAAAGAACCUACAUUAUAUCAAUACACAGCGUAAUAGACACCUCUGCAUGGACACCAAUGAGAUAUUCAUCCCGC
Molecule: long non-coding RNA, 2589 nt
Organism: Anneissia japonica
Lineage: Eukaryota; Metazoa; Echinodermata; Crinoidea; Comatulida; Comatulidae
Exons: 3
Source: RefSeq, a predicted model, not a curated record